AUGCUCGGGCUCUCUGUCCGCCCCCGACGCUACUCUCUGUGGCCGGCUGCGUGCUCUCCAGCCGGCGAGGAUGCAACCCCGUCCCCAUCUCCCUCACUUACUUCAGCCUGCGCACCACUGAGCCCACUCCACACCGCCGCAGCUAGGCUCGAGCUCUCUCUCCGCUGCGCUCGCUCAGCCUCCACCUGCAGAGGCUCUCACCGCCGCCACGGGCUCGAGCAGCCUCCGUCGUGA
Molecule: ribosomal RNA, 234 nt
Filed under: Triticum aestivum (bread wheat)
Lineage: Eukaryota; Viridiplantae; Streptophyta; Magnoliopsida; Poales; Poaceae
Description: partial small subunit ribosomal RNA
Source: RNAcentral